UUUUUAUGUGUUCAUCAAUUAAUUACCCUUUAUCUAUAAGUGCAACUUUGUGCCAAUUUUAAUCAGACUUGGACCGGCAUAGGUUCCAACUAAUAUGCUUUGUGUUUGGUUUAUAAUUUUUAAUUAAACUUAACUAAUGUGAUCGAGGAAAUACUUUAAAGAGGAUGAUCCAGUCAAAAUAUAAAGCACACUAUUUUAAAUUAAUUAGCAAUAUAAUGCAAUUUUG
This 226-nucleotide long non-coding RNA is filed under the name Lathyrus oleraceus (garden pea). RNAcentral describes it as "Pisum sativum (pea) long non-coding RNA (PSAT_LNC032312)". Lineage: Eukaryota; Viridiplantae; Streptophyta; Magnoliopsida; Fabales; Fabaceae. The record is from RNAcentral.